RNAcentral lists this ribosomal RNA (305 nucleotides) under Paracoccus nothofagicola. Its description in RNAcentral is "partial small subunit ribosomal RNA". Lineage: Eukaryota; Metazoa; Arthropoda; Insecta; Hemiptera; Pseudococcidae. The record is from RNAcentral.
ACACACUAUUAUUAAAUUAAUUAAUUUUUAUAUAUCAUUAUAAUAAAAUAAAUUAUAAAAUUUUAUAUUUUAAUUUUAAUUUUUUAAUUUAAAUUAAAUCAAGAUAUAGAAUAAUUAAUAUUUAAUGAAUUAUAAUUAAUUUAAUUAAGUAAGAUUAAUUUUAAUUUAAUUUUAUUAAAAUUUUAAAGUAAUUUAAUUUAAUUAAAUUAAAUGAAUUAAUUUAUUAUUAUGUACAAAUUGCCCGUCAAUUUUAAAUUAAAAAAUAAGUCGUAACAAAGUAAAUAUAUUGGAAAAUGUAUUUAAAA